RNAcentral lists this long non-coding RNA (671 nucleotides) under Gouania willdenowi (blunt-snouted clingfish). RNAcentral describes it as "lncRNA (ENSGWIG00000010530.1)". Lineage: Eukaryota; Metazoa; Chordata; Actinopteri; Blenniiformes; Gobiesocidae. The record is from RNAcentral.
GUUCCAUUCCUCAUGCCUGAAGGAAACAAUUUUUUUCACCUUUAUGGAGAACAGUAAGAAAAACAAACAAACAAACAGACUUGAUCCAUCACAGAUGUUGGUCCACAUGUUUGUGACAUGAUUUCUCAUCCAGCGUGUUUAUGUUUUUAUCUUUGUAGAGAUUGGGAUGGUGUAGUGGCUAACAUGCCAUCAGAGGCCGUGGAACCCGUCCCAGUUCCAAAGUGAGUGUCCUUGAGUUGUUUUAAUUGUCUUUUUUCUGAGUAACUCUAGAUCAGAGUGUCUCCCUGCUCUCUCUCUCUACUACUCUCAGCUACUGUUUCCCUGCCCUGCUCACUGUUUGCAUUUUGUUUUUCAGGAAAAGAAAGCAUGAGGAGGAUAAGAGGACGUAUAUCAAGAAACCUCCCAACGCGUUUAUGCUUUUCCUCAAAAGCCAGAGGAAGACGGUACAGGAAGAGCUCGGCAUUAAGAACAGUGCCGUAGUAAACAAAGUUCUUUCUGAACGCUGGAAGUCAUUGCCAGCAGAACAAAGAGACGUCUUUAAAGCAGAAGCCGAAGCCAAAGCUAAAAUUCAUGCUCUGAAUAAUCCCGGCUGGAGCAACAAAGUGAACUACGGGAAAAAGAGUAAAAAGUCCAACGCUAAAGCUCCACCUCUGCCUCCACCCUCCUGCUGA